This 218-nucleotide unclassified non-coding RNA is filed under the name fungal sp. RNAcentral's name for it is "partial internal transcribed spacer region". The stretch from base 1 to 46 matches the Rfam family "Eukaryotic small subunit ribosomal RNA", at positions 1786 to 1831 of the family's 1831-position model. The record is from RNAcentral. Lineage: Eukaryota; Fungi.
AAGUCGUAACAAGGUUUCCGUAGGUGAACCUGCGGAAGGAUCAUUAAUGUGAUAGCGCCCUGCACUCGUGCGGGGCUGCUAGCCAUCCUUGUGUUGUGUUCUGACGUUGCCUGCCUCUCGGGGCAGCAGCACUUUUUAACUCUGUAUCAUUCAUCUUAUCUACCUGCUCGCAAGAGCACAACAACCGAAAACUGCCAGCAAUGGAUCACUCGGUUCUC